CUGAAUAACACUAAAGAUUUAUCGCUAAGGGAUGGGGAUGCGUCCGAUUAGGUAGUCGGCGGGGUAACGGCCCACCGAGCCCUCGAUCGGUAGGGGUUCUGAGAGGAAGGUCCCCCACACUGGUACUGAGACACGGACCAGACUCCUACGGGAGGCAGCAGUGAGGAAUAUUGGUCAAUGGGCGUAAGCCUGAACCAGCCAAGUAGCGUGCAGGAUGACGGCCCUAUGGGUUGUAAACUGCUUUUAUACGGGGAUAAAGUGAGGGACGUGUCCCUUAUUGUAGGUACCGUAUGAAUAAGGACCGGCUAAUUCCGUGCCAGCAGCCGCGGUAAUACGGAAGGUCCGGGCGUUAUCCGGAUUUAUUGGGUUUAAAGGGAGCGCAGGCCGGAGGUCAAGCGUGACGUGAAAUGUAGCCGCUCAACGGCUGAGUUGCGUCGCGAACUGGCUUUCUUGAGUGAGUACGACGUCAGCGGAAUUCGUGGUGUAGCGGUGAAAUGCUUAGAUAUCACGAAGAACCCCGAUUGCGAAGGCAGCUGACGAGUCCUUUACUGACGCUAAAGCUCGAAGGUGCGGGUAUCGA
Molecule: ribosomal RNA, 580 nt
Filed under: uncultured rumen bacterium
Lineage: Bacteria
Description: bacterial SSU rRNA
Rfam family: Bacterial small subunit ribosomal RNA
Source: RNAcentral